UGAUCCAGCCAUGCCGCGUGAGUGAAGAAGGCCUUCGGGUUGUAAAGCUCUUUCGGCCGGGAAGAAAUCGUAUCAGCUAAUACCUGGUGCGGAUGACGGUACCGGCAUAAGAAGCACCGGCUAACUACGUGCCAGCAGCCGCGGUAAUACGUAGGGUGCGAGCGUUAAUCGGAAUUACUGGGCGUAAAGCGUGCGCAGGCGGUUUUGUAAGACAGGCGUGAAAUCCCCGGGGCUCAACCUGGGAACUGCGUUUGUGACUGCAAGGCUAGAGUACGGCAGAGGGGGGUGGAAUUCCACGUGUAGCAGUGAAAUGCGUAGAGAUGUGGAGGAACACCAAUGGCGAAGGCAGCCCCCUGGGUCGAUACUGACGCUCAUGCACGAAAGCGUGGGUAGCAAACAGGAUUAGAUACCCUGGUAGUCCACGCCCUAAACGAUGUCAACUAGGUGUUGGGUGGGUAAAACCAUUUAGUACCGGAGCUAACGCGUGAAGUUGACCGCCUGGGGAGUACGGCCGCAAGGUUAAAACUCAAAGGAAUUGACGGGG
This 544-nucleotide ribosomal RNA is filed under the name uncultured bacterium. RNAcentral's name for it is "bacterial SSU rRNA". It matches the Rfam family "Bacterial small subunit ribosomal RNA", at positions 384 to 918 of the family's 1533-position model. The record is from RNAcentral.